Molecule: RNA transcript, 1770 nt
Organism: Hevea brasiliensis (rubber tree)
Lineage: Eukaryota; Viridiplantae; Streptophyta; Magnoliopsida; Malpighiales; Euphorbiaceae
Gene name: serine/arginine-rich-splicing factor SR34
Exons: 13
Source: RefSeq, a predicted model, not a curated record
UUGCUCUAGUACAGAGUGGGCGCAAUAUAUAUUUUGUAUACGGUGCAACACCAUAUCAUAUUUACUAACCGAUAACUAGACUCUCACCCGAUCUCAAAACCCUAACCUUCGAAGUUUUCUUCUCCCUCUGACCGAGCCUCUAUUUCAUCGAAAGGGAAAAUGAGUAGCCGCGCUAGCAGGACUCUCUAUGUUGGCAAUCUGCCGGGCGAUAUUCGCGAGAGAGAAGUGGAGGAUUUGUUCUACAAGUAUGGUCCCAUAGCACACAUUGAUCUCAAGAUCCCACCAAGGCCUCCGGGUUAUGCAUUUGUUGAGUUUGAAGAGGCUCGAGAUGCAGAAGAUGCAAUUCGUGGUCGUGAUGGCUAUGAUUUUGAUGGGCAUCGUUUACGGGUGGAGCUUGCUCAUGGUGGGCGUGGAUAUUCAUCCUCAGAUCGCCACAGUAGUUACAGUGGUGGUCGUGGACGAGGAGUAUCUAGGCGCUCUGAGUAUCGUGUUUUAGUUACUGGGUUACCAUCAUCUGCUUCAUGGCAAGAUCUUAAGGAUCACAUGCGACGUGCAGGUGAUGUCUGCUUCUCUCAAGUGUUCCGUGAUGGUAGUGGUACCACGGGGAUUGUGGAUUACACAAACUAUGAAGACAUGAAGGCAGCAAUCAAGAAACUUGAUGACUCUGAGUUUAGAAAUGCAUUUUCCCGGGCAUAUGUUCGUGUGAGGGAAUAUGAUUCCAAGAGGGACUUCUCUAGGAGCCCCAGCCGCGGCCGAUCUCAUUCAAGAGGCCAUAGUAAUAGCCGCAGCCGUAGCCGUAGUCGUAGCCGAGGCCGAAGUUCUGGCCGGAGCAGGAGCCGGAGCAAAUCUCCUAAAACCAAAUCUUCACGCGGCUCGCCUAUUAGGUCAAGAUCAAGAUCAAGAUCAAGAUCUGCUUCUCGUUCCCGCUCUGGAUCAAAGCCCCAUUCUUUGUCGAGCGAACUGGGGAUUGGAUAAUAGGAUCUUGAUGGGAUAUGGUUCAGUUCCUGCCUCUUUUUGGGUUGUGGAGGUAUGCUGUUUUUCAGAUGAGCAGCUCUGGAAACCUUCAUGGUGUCUCUUAUCUAAUGUAUUUAGCUUGAUAAAUGUCCAUGGGUGCUAGAUUGGGAACAAAGGAGAUUAUGGCUUGCAAUAGUAAAGCUGGAUUUCUGUGAACUAACUGCUAGUGGAUCUGGAAGUCACCAGCAAUGAGCGGUAGAAACUAUAUCAUUAUCAUUUUCUACUCCAACAAAUGCCAAGCUAAUAGGUCCUGCUAGCUGGACUCAUUGUGGAUUUUGUGGUACAGUGGGGAAGCAUGCUUCUUUUCUGUCCAAUGGCGUCUUGGAAACCUAUUAUAAUUCUUUAGUUGAGAUUUUUUUUUCCCUCCACUUAGGUAUAUUGUUUGGGUGGGAAUUUUAUGAAAUGACCCCGAACCACCCCACCCCCCCCCCACCCCCCCUUUUUUUUUACCAUUUGUUUUCUCUUGAAUUGCUAAAGAUUUAUGUCUCUUCCUUUUAUCCCUUUUGAAUUUGGUAACACUGACGUGGAAGAGGCAUCAAGGCUCUUGGAUGAGAGUUCUUAAAAGGAACGUGUGGAUUUUAAAUUUGGGUUGUUUCUGGAACUUUUGCAGAUCACAUUCAAGAUCAAGGUCUCCACUUCCAUCUCGACAGAAACGCGUGAGUAAGAGUCCAAAAAAACGAAGUGUCAGCCGGAGCCCAAGUGGUAGCAGAAGCAGAAGCAGGAGCAAGAGCUUAUCCCGGUCUCACUCUAGUGCAU